This 624-nucleotide ribosomal RNA is filed under the name Papiliotrema laurentii. RNAcentral's name for it is "eukaryotic LSU rRNA". It matches the Rfam family "Eukaryotic large subunit ribosomal RNA", at positions 49 to 662 of the family's 3401-position model. Lineage: Eukaryota; Fungi; Basidiomycota; Tremellomycetes; Tremellales; Rhynchogastremaceae. The record is from RNAcentral.
AGCGGAGGAAAAGAAACUAACAAGGAUUCCCCUAGUAACGGCGAGUGAACCGGGAAAAGCUCAAAUUUGAAAUCUGGCGUCCUCAGGGCGUCCGAGUUGUAAUCUAUAGAGGCGUUUUCCGUGCCGGACCGUGUCCAAGUCCCUUGGAACAGGGUAUCAAAGAGGGUGACAAUCCCGUACUUGACACGACUACCGGUGCUCUGUGAUACGUCUUCUACGAGUCGAGUUGUUUGGGAAUGCAGCUCAAAAUGGGUGGUGAGUUCCAUCUAAAGCUAAAUAUUGGCGAGAGACCGAUAGCGAACAAGUACCGUGAGGGAAAGAUGAAAAGCACUUUGGAAAGAGAGUUAAACAGUACGUGAAAUUGUUGAAAGGGAAACGAUUGAAGUCAGUCGUGACCGAGAGGCUCAGCCGGCUCUGCCGGUGUAUUCCCCUCGGUCGGGUCAACAUCAGUUUUGUCCGGUGGAUAAGGGCGGUAGGAAGGUGGCACCCACGGGUGUGUUAUAGCCUGCCGUCGCAUACACUGGGUGAGACUGAGGAAUGCAGCUCGCCUUUAUGGCCGGGGUUCGCCCACGUCCGAGCUUAGGAUGUUGACAUAAUGGCUUUAAACGACCCGUCUUGAACCAC